CGUCAUGUCACGGCUGCA
This 18-nucleotide non-coding RNA is filed under the name Arabidopsis thaliana (thale cress). Lineage: Eukaryota; Viridiplantae; Streptophyta; Magnoliopsida; Brassicales; Brassicaceae. The record is from RNAcentral.